UCUAGCCUACGGGAGGCAGCAGUGGGGAAUAUUGCACAAUGGGGGAAACCCUGAUGCAGCGACGCCGCGUGAGUGAAGAAGUAUCUCGGUACGUAAAGCUCUAUCAGCAGGAAGAAAAAUGACGGUAGCUAAGGAGCAAGCCACGGCUAACUACGUGCCAGCAGCCGCGGUAAUACGUAGGUGGCAAGCGUUGUCCGGAAUUACUGGGUGUAAAGGGAGCGCAAGCGGGAAGCCAAGUCAGCUGUGAAAACUACGGGCUUAACUUGUAGACUGCAGUUGAAACUGGUUUUCUUGAGUGAAGUAGG
Molecule: ribosomal RNA, 305 nt
Filed under: uncultured bacterium
Lineage: Bacteria
Description: bacterial SSU rRNA
Rfam family: Bacterial small subunit ribosomal RNA
Source: RNAcentral